GGCCACGGGCUCUUGUGGGUUAAGCGAUCGGCUUCGAACCUGGGAGUCGGGGGUUCGAAUCCCUCCGGGCACGCCA
RNAcentral lists this transfer RNA (76 nucleotides) under Desulfofustis glycolicus DSM 9705. RNAcentral describes it as "tRNA_Pseudo_TCG". Lineage: Bacteria; Pseudomonadati; Thermodesulfobacteriota; Desulfobulbia; Desulfobulbales; Desulfocapsaceae. The record is from RNAcentral.